Molecule: ribosomal RNA, 250 nt
Filed under: uncultured bacterium
Lineage: Bacteria
Description: partial 16S ribosomal RNA
Rfam family: Bacterial small subunit ribosomal RNA
Source: RNAcentral
UACGAAGGGUGCAAGCGUUACUCGGAAUUACUGGGCGUAAAGCGCGCGUAGGUGGUUUCUUAAGUCUGCUGUGAAAGCCCCGGGCUCAACCUGGGAAUGGCAGUGGAUACUGGGAAGCUGGAGUGUGGUAGAGGGUAGUGGAAUUCCCGGUGUAGCGGUGAAAUGCGUAGAGAUCGGGAGGAACACCAGUGGCGAAGGCGGCUACCUGGACCAGCACUGACACUGAGGCACGAAAGCAUGGGGAGCAAAC